Molecule: non-coding RNA, 60 nt
Organism: Burkholderiales bacterium
Lineage: Bacteria; Pseudomonadati; Pseudomonadota; Betaproteobacteria; Burkholderiales
Source: Rfam
CGGCCGGGCUGAACUGCCCGGUACGAGUGCACGCCCCGGUACCUGACACGGCCGGGGUUC